Molecule: long non-coding RNA, 718 nt
Organism: Drosophila mojavensis
Lineage: Eukaryota; Metazoa; Arthropoda; Insecta; Diptera; Drosophilidae
Exons: 2
Source: RefSeq, a predicted model, not a curated record
AAUUUUAAAUAAUUUCGAUCAUACAUCCAGCAUAAAAUGAUUCGUGCAAUUUUGUAUAAGAAGACAAUACAAUAGUAAUCGGAUAUUUAUGUGAUGGUUGUAUAUCUAAUAACAUAUAUAUUGUAUUACAUAUGGAUAAAAUUGGAUGCGUCAUCCUCAGAAGCGGUGGGCAAAAAUCUAGUAAUACUAGCAGCAGCUGUGGAAGACUUAGAAUUAUCAAAGUGCGCCACAGUAGAACGCGAAGCAGAAGCGCCAUCUUAAAUGUACAUAAUAUAAUAAAAAACAAACUUGCACUUUAAACAUCAGUUUGAUGGCCUUAAAAAUGUAUCCAUACAUUCUUACGAAGAACCACCAAAUAUCAUUGAAAUAUAGCUAUAAAAGCUAAUCACAAUAUAAUAAUAUUAUUAACUUAAUGUUUAUAUAUAUAUGUUAUGUUAUAUAUGUAUAUUCCGGAAAAUGCUUACAUGCGUCUCUUUGCGCCACCUAGUAGUAAAUUAUCGAUGGAUGAAAAAAACCAUCGAUAUAUCAUGAAAGCCCAAAUCCAUCGAUACUAUCAAUAGUCUGCAUCGAUGGAUUUGCAGCCUUAAUACAUAUGUAAUUAGAUAUGUAUACAUUCUGGUAUAUGUACUCUUCAAGAAGAAGUGCAAUGAAGGGAAAUGGACUGGCUUGAGCGGACAAACAUAUGUACAUAUAAAUUUACAAAUUAUAUUAUUCCAAU